CAGUCGCCGCGGUAAUACGUAGGUGGCAAGCGUUGUCCGGAAUUAUUGGGCGUAAAGGGCUCGCAGGCGGUUUCUUAAGUCUGAUGUGAAAGCCCCCGGCUCAACCGGGGAGGGUCAUUGGAAACUGGGAAACUUGAGUGCAGAAGAGGAGAGUGGAAUUCCACGUGUAGCGGUGAAAUGCGUAGAGAUGUGGAGGAACACCAGUGGCGAAGGCGACUCUCUGGUCUGUAACUGACGCUGAGGAGCGAAAGCGUGGGGAGCGAACAGGAUUAGAUACCCGCGUAGUCCCUGUCUCUCAUAC
This 301-nucleotide ribosomal RNA is filed under the name uncultured bacterium. Its description in RNAcentral is "partial 16S ribosomal RNA". It matches the Rfam family "Bacterial small subunit ribosomal RNA", at positions 509 to 809 of the family's 1533-position model. The record is from RNAcentral.